AUGGAUUAAGAUUGUCGGGAAAUGGGAAUGCAAUACAAAGUAAUUAAUGACACAGUCUCAGUGUUUCACUUACACGUGAAGCAAACGAAACAAGAAGAAUCUUAAGAAAAAAACACUCACCAGAACGCAAGGUUCAAUCCCGGUUUACUACGUCAACCUCCAUUCCUCAAAGAGAUUGGAAACACGUCAACCUUCAUCUCCACCAGUCUCCAUCUCCACGAAUAAGAAUUCUGCGCCCAUUUGCACUAUUUGAAUCGAGUGGAAGCUUUUUAAGCGAAUGGCAACCCCAAACUUCCAAUUCUUUGAGACGUGGGAGAGGCAAGGGCUUCCAGAAAAUGCUCUUCAAAUUGCGCAGUCGCUCUAACCGAAGACGCUGGAGUUUUGCAAAAGGGCUGCUUAUUAUUCCCGUCAUCUCAGGAAUGUCAUCAAACUCUCCAGCACUGAUUAUUUCUUCCAUGUCAUCGCAAAGCCUUACGGAAAUAGACUUGAGGUUUGGAGCAAAAACGAGGAAUGUCAAGUGUUUCAAAUUUCUGCAACUGUCUACGGUAACUUCCUCUAGGCUGCGGAAAACAUAAGGUUGGCGAGAUUUUUGUACCAUAACUUUGCAGUCAAUCUUCAGUCCCCCAGACCAAUCACAAGAACGAAAGUAUAAUGUAUUGAGCUGCUCUAGAUCGGCUAAAUCUGCAACAUCAAUCGACUCCUCCCUAUCGAACUCAUCGAGCAUAAGAGCUUUGGUAGAACUUCGUAACUUCUGUGAGCUCAAAAAUGUUUGGUAAGCCUUAAAACUCCUGAAGCUGAUGUCCAGUACCUCUAAAAAUUUCAAACCGAGCAAAUCCUCUACUACAUUCUCAUACUUGAAGCAAAUCGCUCUGAAAAAUGGUCUAAUACCAAUACCAAACAUUCUCAACACACGUAACCUUGAAAAAUUAGAUAACAGUUGCUGUGGAACUUCAAAUAACUCGCGUGCCCAGUCCAAAUUCAAACAUUUAAGAUUUACCAACGCUUUUAACUCUUCGGGUAACUCUCGAACGCUUGUUUUUGAAAUAUCAAGGAGUUGUAGUGAAACCAACUUUGAGAUCCCCAUUGGUAACUGCUGUAGCGUUUCAUUAUCUGACAUCUUCAAAACUGUUAGACAAGGCAUAGACUGGAAGAAGCCACCGGUGAUCGUCCUCAACUUAAUAUCGUUAAGAAACAAAGUAAGAAGACGAGGGCAUGUAGGAACAAUUGGUAGAUUUUCAAUUGAAUUUGUCAUCAAUGAUAAUCUUCUCACCAUUUCCCAUCCUCUGACAUCUGCAGGUGCCUCCGUUAAUCCGGAACCUGCAUAAACCAAAAAGCCCUCCUUCUCCUUCUCAAUCUCACAAGUUAUCCACAAUGCCAUAUCGCGGAUGACGUCAUGCAUUUUUACUUGAUCAUCUUCUACCUCUUCCAAUAAACAUGCACGAACAAGAGUGGUCACGAUGUGGUAUCCUUGGUUUUGUGUGCCAAACUUGGCUGCAUCCAAAAACCCCUCGCAAAUCCAGCAAUCAAUCAAGUCUCUUUUAUAUAUAAUGUAAUCUUCUGGAUAUAAACAACAAUAUAAGAAACAAGAUCUGAUUGCAUCGUUUGGCAAGCAAUCAUAGCUGAAUUUUAAAAGAGGAUAUACCUCCUUUCCCAAACCCGCAAAUUCGGAAGCUGAUCUUCUUAAAACUUCAAUCGCAUAUCUCCAUUCUUCAGGAGUCUUUUUGUAGGCCAUGGCUCGACCAAUAGUAAUAAGCGCGAGCGGCAAUCCAUCGCACUCCUUUGCCACAGUUUGAGCUAGUUCAGGAAUACUAUGAUGACUCUCAAUAGUUUCUUCCCCAACCUUCUCUCGAAAUAGCUCCCAAGCAUCCCCAUCGGAUAAGCAUGCCACUUUGAACAUCCUACGAGCUUCCAUACCACCACAAACAUCAACGAAACGGGUUGUAAAUACCACUGCACUAUUUUUUGGGCUGUUACUACUACUAGGAAGAGGGACGCCUACCUUCUUUAGAUCAACCCGCUCCCAUAGAUCAUCCAACAACAAAGCAAACUUCUUCUUGCUUAAAGUCUCGAAGAUGUCCUCAGCUUUGUCUUCGAGACUUUUGUUCUUCCAUGAAUCAUUACAUAGACCUAUCUUUUUCCCGAUAGUUUCUUGAAUUUUUUCAAGCUGUAGGUCUUUGGACACCACAACCCAAAUCACAUAAUCAAAAUCUUUUGGAUUAUCAACAAAUUUAUUGUUGAUUUGGGUUAACAGAGUAGUUUUACCGACACCGCCCAUGCCAUAUAGGCCAAUUAUACCAGCUGCAGGUUCUUGUACAAGACAUCUCCAAACUUGUUCAAGUUGUGAUUGCAAGCCUACCACCGUUGGCUCAGUAGGUCUUUCAUCUGCCACAGAUUCUGGAUCUGGCACGGCCACCUCUUGAAAAACUGCUUCCCCCUUUAAGGCCUUCACAUCUCGCAGCCUUUUAACAACUUUUCUACCAAACUUGUAGCUUGACUUGCAGUUCCUGGAGCAGUAGCCUCCAAGACACAAUUUGUCAAUUUCCUGAGAGCCACCAUCUCUUCCCAUGAGUUCAUCAACUUCAGUUUUAAGAGUCUCCACCCUCGAAAGCCAAAGCUGCACUUGGUUCAGCCUCUUCAUUUUGUGUUGGUGUUCGGCAUUGAGGACCCUCGUCAUCACAUCGUUCUUUGCAGCGAUUAGUUGUUCCAAUUCAGUCGUCAAGGCAACAACAUUAUCUUUGAGGUCAGUUAUAUAUGCAGCUUUGCCAAGAGCGCAGUCUGGGCAACGAUUGAACAUUGCGCCAACAUCGCAAGAGAUUUGCAAAAUGUUACCCAUAAUGGAUCUCACUUGUAUGUAUGAAUUCAACCAAGAGAGAAACAAAGGAAUUUAACUUCACCAGUUUGAUGAACAGAAGCUGCUGUCGCGGAUUAAUUGAGAUAGAACAUUAGUUAUAUCCAAUAUUCAUCAUUUUUGGUAAACACAAGAGAAUGAAGAAAAAGAAGAAGAAAACAAAAGAAAAAGAGGCGAUCAUGAUCGGCCACCACAUAUUACAUUCAUGUAUGAUAAUCGGCCACCACAUAACUUAUCCAAUAUUCAUCAUUUUUGGUCCCACACCAUGUGCUUGACAGUUGUUUCGAUUUUAUCUCUUUUUAUUCCCCCCUUUCUUUCUUUCUUUCUUUUUGAUCAGCAUUUUUGUCUUGAUUCUUGAAUAGUUGAAUAUGUAUGUGUGUGCGGGCAUGUAAUAUAUAGUACUUAGAUUUUGUUUAAUUUUCUAUUGUUAACUUGAUUAUUUGUGGCAUUAAUUUAAUAUGAUUUACAUCUUUUUGGUUGUAGUGUUGAUGAGGUUACUUUAUAUGAUGACCCAAUUUUUUUUUUUUUUUGGUCUUCAUUUGUUUAAUUAUGAGAAAAAUAAAAUAGUAAUAAGAUAGGUCAAUUCGGGAAAACAAUUAAUGAACUAAUGUAGUAUAUCUCAUCUCACUCCCCUAGCAUAUCAAAAAUUUCCAAAAUUUGUCUUCAAUCGAUUAAACAUAAAUUUCAAAAUUCUUUAAAAAAAAAAAAAGCCAAUACCGAUCCUUUAAAGUUUAAAACAUCCAAAAAGGGAAAAAAAAAAUUCAUCUAUUAGCAUAUGGUAAAAGCAUAAUUCGACUAAAGUUGGGACAUGGCAUGUGGUAGACAUGUGGAUUGAUUGCAUAUGUUAUUUGAAUCGUUGUAUCAUCAGCUUUGCAUUAUUAAUAAGUUUUUUUUUUUCACCCAAAUUCUUCCAAGAAUUAUGCGUAUAUUUUUUAGCAUAAUUGUUGGCUGAUCAGAAACUCUCGAAAGUUGGCCUAUAAUUUAGAUUAAACCAACAAUUAACAUGAGAAGUUAGGCUGGCAGGACAAUGGGAACCAACUCAAAUCUGGUUCCAUUAGCAAGUAGCAGCCAAAUUCCGAGAUUUUCAACAAUUUUGAACCAAUCCCAAAGGAGAUUUAGUUUACUAAACAAGAUUUCUCUUUGUCACUAACCGUGCAUGCCGCUUCUUAAUAAUUAAGAUCUACAUAAAUGACUUUUAAUUUUGUAUGAUGAUCUCUUCCUCUUUGGAACAGAUACUUAAAUUUUAUUCAUCGUGACUGUGCUGAUAAAAAUCAAUAGUAAUCAAUCUUGUAUUUAAGUACACUCAACCAAUUAUGUUUUCUUACAUAAUUGUUUAGAAAUAAAGAACUAUAAUUACCUCCAAAAUCAAGCAAAUAAUAACCAAUAUGUUAUAUUUUUUAAUUGAUUUUUUCCCCUUCAAAUAAUGGAUUACUAUCGGUUUGGCAUAUGGUAAAAGCGUAGUCGCAACAAAUAGAUUCUUGAAAGAGUGGUGCUAUUGGCACCUUCUUAAAACUCAAUGAAACCCCAUUUUCAUGGUUAUAGCUUUAUUCUUAGUUAAAAUUACAUAACAGGACAAAAGAAAUUUAAUUAAAAUUAAAAUUUAAUUUCUUUUUGUUACUAAUUCUUCAAACCCAAUAAAUUAUUUUAUUAGGAUUUUUGUUAUUUUUGUCUUUAAUUUUUUUUUUGUAUGUAAAAUAAGUGCCCACUUGGUGAAGAAAAUCCAAUAAUUUGAUAAAAAUCUGAUAAAUUACUUGGACCUUUUUUUUCUUAAUUAUUUCUAAAAUCAUUUUGGAACUAAAAAAAAAUUGAAUCCCAUAUAUAUUAGAUACUGAAAAUAAAGAGUUAAUGAUGUGUGGGUAUGAACUGCGAAGAGUCAAAAAGAAAAUACGUACAUGGAUUGGGGUUUAAUAAUUUUGUAUUUGUAAUUUUAUGUAAUUUUCUGUUGUGAAAGAGCUGUUAAUGUGAAAACGGGGUUUCAUAAGAAUAUUGAGGGGGUGCCAAUAGUAUUACUCUUCUUGAAAAUCAUAUGAGAAAGACAAACAGCCCAAAAACAAAGUGCCUAUAUCUUUAAAUUUAUUAUAGAGUAGUCAUUUUUAUUAUAUUUUUUUAAAUUGCUCUACCUUUUUUUUUUUUCAAAACCUUAACUAAAAUAUUAAAAUUGUGAAAAUUAGGGAUCUGCUCAGGAUGAUAUUCUGAGUCCCAUUUUCAUUUUCAUUUACUAAAAAUAAGUUGAACAACUGUUCGGUAUAAUAUUCUAAUAAAAUGAAUUAUGAAAUAAAAAAAUACAGAUUUUACUUUUGUUUACUCAAAAAGUUGAAGAACGACAUUCUUAUGGUUUUGUUGAAUUUCAAGAAUGGAAGCUAUUCUCUCAUCUUUAUCUUAGAUUAGCGUCCAUGGUAAUUAAAAUGGUUUUUGUAUCAAAUUGAUAAGAUUGAAACAUCUAAUGCUGCAAUGGCUUUUGUGAUUAUUUUAAAUUUGAAGUUAAAAUUUGAUAAAAAUAAUAAGUUUUAUUGAGCAGAAGAUGAGUGGAAGGACUUUUUCUUUGAUUUUUAGCCGAACAAAAAGACAAAAUAAAAUGUUCAAAGACUUUAAAAAAAAAAUGUCGUCAUAUUUUGCUUGUACCAAUGAAACAGCAGUUGUGAAAAAGGAUUAAAAUAAUAUUUUCAAAUGAGAUUUUUCUCUAUACCUUAUCAUACCUUUUAUUUGAAUAUCUUUUUUUAUAUAUAAGUUUAUGAUUUCAUUUAUCAGAUGCUCUAUAAUAUAUUUCAUUUACUGAAAAUUUUUAUUAUUAAAUGUAAUGAACAAUUUAAUUUUUUUAUAAGUGUUUACUGUGUGAUACCAAAAAAUAAAUAAACUCUAAAUAAUCCAUUGACAUAAAUAUAAACUAUAUGUUUAAGUUAAAAAAAAAAAGUUUCAAUCCAAUGCUACCGAACAAGUAUUACAGUUUUUAUAUUUAAAUAUAAGUUUCAAAAACUCAAACUGAACACAUAUUUAUAUUUAGAAUACCGGUUUCAAAAACAUCAUUUUUAUUUUUGUUUUUGUUCUAUAAAAACAUCAAUUGACAAUAAUAAAGACAAAGAAUUGAAAAUUUUAAUAAGAAUUAAUCUAACUACUCUCUUUAAAAGGAAAAAAAGAAAAAAGAAAAUAUCUAACUACACUCACUUUCUAAAAUAUAUAAAUACAUAUAAUUACACUAAAACCCCUAUAGAUUUUUAUUUUACCAAACAAUUAUGUGAUUAAUAUUUAUUUAUAAAAUAUAACAAUUAUGUGAUUAAUAUAAUAUUAAUUUUAUAAUCUCAACUCAAUGGUCAUAUCAAGAGCAUAUUUGAUUAUUUUAUUUUCAAUCUAUAAUUGAGACAUCACACCCUGGAGUUAAAGCGGUUGUUAUCAUUUUGUUUUCUGAUUUAAUUUCUAUUUUAAAAAUAAUUUUAGACCCCGUGAGCAAUCCAACGAAUGAUUUGCGAGUUUGGAGGAGUCCAUUCAUAUGGGGCCCACUGGUCGUUUGAUGAUUGAUUAUGUCACAUGAUUCCUGCCACAUACGAUUAUUAUCCACCCUUUAUCUCCUUUUUUUUCUUUAAUAAAUAAUCCUCUUUACUCAUUUCACUUCCAAUUUCAUGUUCAUGCCCUUACACUAUUGAUUUAUCUAUUUUUUAUUUUAGACAUUUUUUUUGUUACUCUUCCUCAUGUUAUUGUCCCUUUCUUUUUCUUUUCCUUAGCAGUAAUGUUCCAAAUUAAAUCGAGAAACAAAGCUAUAAAUGAUAGAACUUAUUAGUUCGAUAAUUUAUAAACUCGCAAUAGAUGGUACUCAUUUUCAUUCCUAGAUGAAUGCAACACGUCCGCGUACAGAAUACGUCGAAGUUUGGGAAGAACGUGGCCCUAAGACAUUUUUAGUAAGAUUAGGAGUUUAACUGAUAUUUAAUUCCUUUAAAACGUGAAGUUUACAUUUUGCACCCUUUGAAUUUACAGUUUCUUAUGUUUGGCAUCUCAAUUUGGCUUCUCUCUAAUAUGGUCCACAUUAUACCAAAAUUAUAUUUCCACCACUAAAUGUGACAGUACUGAAAAACUAUUUGAAGUCGGAAAGUUAGUGAAUUUUGAUUUAUUUUUUAGGAUAUUUUUAAAGUAUUAUAUAGACGAAAAUUAACUAUCUACCUAACUAAUCAAGCGAGCAAUUUAAACUUUAGACCUCUUUUACAUCAACGGGUUAUGUUUGGCUGACUCAAUUUGUCAAUAACUAGAUAGAUGUUAUGACAGACUCAAUUUGGGGCAGAUUCUAGGGUAAGAAAACUGAAAAUGCCUAUUUUCGAAGGUGAGGAUGCAUAUGGAUGGGUGUAUAGGGUAGAGCACUAUUUCGCCAUCAAUGGACUCUAAGAAAGGGAAAAAUUGAUGGCGGCGGCAUUAUGUUUGGAGGAAAAGGCCUUUGCGCGGUUUCAAUGGCGAGAACAACGACAAUCGUUGAGGUCAUGGGGUGAGUCUAAAGAUCGGCUAUUGGAGAGGUUUCAGGGCACUCAAGACGGAGAUUUGCAUGAACAAUUUUUUACUCUGACCCAAGAUAGAACGGUUAUGGAGUACAAGGAGAAGUUUGAGGUGCUAUCAGGGCGUUUAUGGGGAAUUCCAAAGGCGGUAUUGGAAGGGAAUUUUAUGAAGGGACUGAAGCCAGAUAUCCGAGCCUCGCUACACUUGCUAAGGCCGAGAGGGCUAGGGGAGUUAAUGGAGUUGGCACAAAUGAUUGAGGAUAAGAACACAGUAGAACGGGUUAAUAGGAGCAAUUCAGUCAAUUUUUCAUACCAAAACAGCUCGCCAUUGGUAGGACAAAAAACCCAGACUUUGGGGUUUCAACAAGAGUUCCAAAGUACACCACUAGGAGGCCAGAAAAUGCAAAUGGUGGAUUUACAGAGAGAUUCCCAAAGGGAUUGGGAUAGUGGGGCACGACUCGGGGUGACUUUUGAACGCCUCAUGGAGACAGAGAUUCAGGAUAAGAGGGCGAAGGGGUUGUGUUUUCGAUGUGAUGAGAAAUUUUCACUAGGGCAUCGAUGUAAGGAUAAAUCACUACAAGUCCUGACUUUGUGUGAUGAGGAAGAAGGCCGGAAAGAAGCCGAAGAAGAAGCCGCAACAGUUUCCUAGAUUUCACCUUGAGGACAAGGUGUCUUUUUGGGAGGGGAGUAAUGUUUGACCAAUGAAAAUUUAAGUGCAAUUAUAAAGAGGCAGGGGCACUUUAGUAAUCUUAGGGGCGGGGGGCAGUUUAGUAAUUUUAUUAUUAAUUAGGGUUCAGGUAUAAAUAAGAGAUUAUGGAGUCACCUAAAAUUUAUGUUGAAUUUUAUCUAGUGUUAAGAAGAGUUAGGAGCUUUGGGAGAGAUUGACCUACCUCUCGAAUUGUAGGUCAAGAUUAUUAUUUAUUUUUAUUAAUCAAUAAAAAAAAUCAGCCCUAAUUCACCCCUAAGUCCUGCCAUAACGGAAUUUGUGUUAUUGACCUCUUCUUUUUUCCCUUUUCCUUCUUGUAACAACUUCUUUAUGAAACAUGUCUCUGCGUCUGGCUCUUGUCUUACUAUGAACCUGCACAGGAGUACUUGGCAACUACUAGAACCCUGCCACGACUAAUAGAUGUUGUUAAGAGUUCCACAAAGGAGAAGGUGAGAUCUGGUUUCUUGGUAGUAUUUAAUUUUAGCAAAGGCUCACUGCUGCACAAGAUGAGUCUCAUCCACUUGAAUACUAUUAACUUGUUAUACAUACGUAUAUUUAAAUAUAUAUAUAUAUAUUGGCUUGUGGUAUAAGUAGGCUAUUUUCUUUUCCAAAAGAAUACGUUCUUUUGUUCAUAUGGUUAUUAAGAUAUGCAUAUCCUGCUAGGUUGUCAGGGUAGUGGUCUUGAUCCUUAGAAACUUGCUUCCCAAAGGUAAUUUUGCUGCUGAAAUGAUAGACCUUGGGCUACCUCAAGUUGUUCAAAGUUUAAAAGCGCAAGCAUGGAGUGAUGAGGUAAGAGAAGUUGCUCGCUGUUUAGUUUUUCUUUUUCGGCUGAUUGCAUAAUUAUUUAGUUAAUAGAUCGAGUAAAAUUAAGGGAGUUGAUGGCGCUGUUUGCUACUGAUUGGUGCAUUUGGUGAUCAUUUUAUAUGGAUUAAAAAUUUACUGCGGGUUCUGUUAAGUAUGGUGUGGUAGAAUAGUCAGUUGCUUGUGUGAUGACAAAAACUACUGUUAUUUUUGUUCAUUAUAUGAAUAUUAGUGUUGUUUUGGUGCAUAAUUGAUUAUGAUACCAUUACGCCCUAUUAUUCCUUUGUUCAGCAUGGAAUAAUUUUGUUUCAAUCCACACUUUGAUUGAAGCUCUGGCCGGCGAAAGUGCUGACUACUAUUGCACGGACCUACACUAUCUUUGACAACUUUAAGACAUUUAUCCUAGGACAAUGUUACCUCUAAUGGCUGACAAAUGCCUGCUUUAUUUAAUUCUCAAGCACCUGUCAUCUGAGCAAUGUUAACUCAAUUAAUUGUGCCUUUUUUAUUACCACAUAUUUUCUUUGGCCUUGAACCAUUCAAUUUUGCCAAGGCUUGACUCUUUUUCCUCAUGAUGAACUGAAGCUGUAUACUGAUUUUGUGGAAUCUUGGUAUCCAACACAAAAUGAAGAUUUCAGCCUUCAAAUUUAUAAUGCACGAUAUUAGAUUGAGUUUGGGUGGCUCCUGAAUAAUAUGCCAAAAAGAAUUGAGUCUUGACCACCAUUGCUGAAUUUUGUUUAACCUUUAACACAAUGAUGACUUCAUCUUGCCACAUUUACAUAUAAUAGAUUUCAAUAUCUUCUUAGGAUUUACUAGAGGGUCUGAAUCAACUGGAAGAAGGUUUGAAGGAUAAUAUCAAGAGAUUGAGUUCUUUUGACAAGUACAAGCAAGAAGUCCUCCUUGGCCAUCUCGACUGGUCCCCUAUGCACAAAGAUCCCCUAUUCUGGCGUGAUAAUAUCACAAACUUUGAAGAAAAUGAUUUCCAGGUAUUUCUUUUCCCUAUGGACGGUGUUUCUAGUUUUUAUUUUUCAUUUUUUCUGCUUUCACCGCACUGAAUGACUCCUGCUAAUAUCUGUAUCGUCUCGUUCAGCAUCAUUUUGUAUAAAUACCUACAAAGUUUCUGUAAUACUAAUGGAUAAUCUUCUCUCUCAGAUUCUAAGGGUCCUCUUAAACAAUUUUGGAUACAUCCAGUGAUCCACGAGCUCUUGCUGUCGCUUGCUUUGAUCUCUUACAGUUUAUCCAGUACCAUUCAGCUGGGCGGGUCAUUGUGACAGACCUCAAAGCCAAGGAACGGGUGAUGAAAUUGAUGAACCAUGAGAAUACCGAGGUUACCAAGAGCGCCUUACUCUGCAUCCAAAAGCUUUUCCUAGGCGCAAAGUACGCGAGCUUUUUGCAGGCCUGAAUUUUCUUUCCAUGGGGUCCAGUAUUGUUUACAAAGGAAAUGCUUGUAAUGAUUUGAUUCCAGUUUGGCUGUGGUUAGGUUGUUUAUUUAUUUAUCAAUCAUUGGAGGAAUUUAUGAAUCAGGGGAACUCGUCUGUUGGAUUUUUUAAAGUACUGUGAAGAAUUAGUUGAUUUUUUACCAUAUUUUGGAAAUUUAUUUUGUUUUUGAGAUGAGGAAUAAAUUGAUACCAUCUGUACUGACCUUUGAUAUGAAAACUACUCGAGCGCAUGAUAUAUAUCUGUUUUUGUUCAUUUCUGUAUCUUGCUGCUGACUGAAGCUGGAUUUUCAAGCUCGUUAUUAUCAUCUAUUCUUUUGAAGUUGCAAAAUGAAUUCUCAAUAUUUUCAGGGGAAAUGCUUAUAAUUAGCGCGGAAUUAUACAUUGAUUGUGUACUGUAUACUUCCAAAAAGGCAAUUUAUUUCCAUUGAUUUGAGUAAACUAAAUCUCCGUGAUGGUAACACUUAUUUAAUCACUAAUUAAAGAAUUCUUUGAAAAUUUGAUGAUUGUUGUUGAAAACAUUUACUAAUUGUAAAUGCGUUAAAAAUUAAUACAAUAUUGAGAAUUCAAACAGCUCAUCUUCUUGCUGCUUUCACCCUUCCUUCUUCGUUUGCCAUCGUCACGACGACCAAAAAAGGUACCCACCCCACUCCCUCUUUUGAUCAUCAUUUCGCAUACACUUUUCUUCAAUUUAAUUUUUUUAUUUUUUUUCUCAUGUACCCUUGUGAUUCUUUUGCAUUCUUUAUUGGAUGUUAUUAAUUAUUAUAAAAAAAAUUCUAAAAAAUAAAUAAAAUUCACGGCAGCUAGGAGUUGAACGAAACUCUUGAGUCCAGUCCUGUUUAGUAGGAUUCUUUGAUUUACAAAGCAUCGAGUAAUCAGAUUUGCUGGGCAUUCAUUUUGCUUUGUUAUGUUUCCAUGUAUCAAUUUUCAGUUCAUACCAAAUCUACUUUUUGAGGUUCAUUAUUCAUUUCCUUUAAUUCUUCGUCAUUGGGUUUCUACUGCAUUGUAAUGCUCCACACAAGGUUAGACUCCUUGCAAGGCACUUCUAUUCUAUGCUAGCUUUUCAUAUCACGCUUUUCAUAACAUGAGUUGGACUGAGUGUUGUGCGCGGAAUGCGGAAUCAAGCGCACCAAAUAAUUACUGAAAAAUAAAGGACACAAGAAUUUACGUGGUUCGGUAAUUAAACCUACAUCCACGGAGGCAAGAAAGAAUAAUUGUUUAUUUAACAAUUAAUAGAGUACAAUAUUUGAGUAACGAAUCUCACUUCCCAGAAACCCAAAUAUACCCAGUACUCUCUCACUCUGCAGGAAAGAUAAAUUCCCCAGACACACUUCUCUCACUUCUCUCAAAGCUUAGAAACUUAUAAGCUUAACAAUUUUGGGAUGAUUUCAAAUGAAUGAAAUCCUUAGCUAUUUAUAGGAGAAAUGAAUUACUAUGCUAAGAAUAAAAUAAUUAAAAAUAUAAUUUUUAAUUAUUAUUAUUUUUCAAUUUUUCAACAAAUUGUUGGUGCACCAACAAUUUGUUGACUUCAACAAAUUUGCACCAACAAUUUGUUGACUUCAACAAAUCUCCACCUCGGCGAAAAUUUAUCCAAAUCUGAGCCGAUUGACAAUAAUCCGCCAAACUUCAUCCCUCACAUGAUCCUCAAAAGGAUCAACAUUGGCUGCAUCUAUUCGACUGCCUACGUACCCCAAGGUUGGGAUCAAGCCUGCCGUAGUUCCAAAAAUUCUCCAAACUCAACGCAUUCGAAGAAUUAAUUUCAAUCCGUAUAAAGAUUUACUCAAUCUGCACACACGAUUUUCCUUUCCAGCAACUUUGAAACCACAAGACUGAAUCAUAUAGCUUUCCUCCUCCAAAUCUCCAUGUAAGAAUGCCGUCUUCACAUCCAACUGAGUCAACUCUAACUCGUAUUCUGUAACUAAGGCAAGUAGGAUACGAAUGGAAGUAUGUUUUACAACUGGAGAGAAAACUUCAUUGUAGUCAAUACCUUCCUUUUGAGCAAAACCUUUUGCCACGAGCCUUGCCUUGUAUCGAGGAGUUGUUUGAUUCGGAGAUCCUUGCUUUUUAGUGUAGACCCAUUUAUUGCCAAUAGCCCUUUUCCCCUUUGGUAACUUUACAAGUUCCUCCAUGGCUAACUUCCACUGAUCACUUUCACCGCUGCGUAAUGCUUUACCGAAAGUGUUGGGGAUGUCAUCAUCAAUAACUGGAAGUGCAUAGGCUACCACCAUAUCUUUAGUAAGCCAUCCGGGUUUCUUUAUCUCUCUUCUUGGCCUCCUUGUUGCUAUAAAAUCAUCAUUAUCUACAUCAUCAAUUGUUUCUUCAUUUUGUGGGACAUCAGAAGAAACAACCUCUUCUUCAACUCUAGGUGUCACAUCCAUAGUUGAACCAUUCAUUGAUGUAGAACUAACUGGUACAUAUGGAGUUGCAUCAAAUUCCACCCGCUGCAAUACCUCUGUGGUCUUGUUCUCCACCUGCUGAGAACUUGAAGCUUUUAUCAUUGAAACUUCAUCAAAUGUGACAUCUCUACUACACACAAACUUUUUAUCUUCGAGAUCCCAAAGCUUGAAACCCUUUACUCCACCUUUGAAUCCCAUAAAGAUAGCUUUUCUAGCACGAGAAUCCAGUUUACCAUCUUUGACAUGAUAACAAGCUGGACACCCGAAUAUACGAAGGGAAUCAUAGUCUUGUGCAUGCUUUCCAGACCACAUUUCCAUAGGGGUUUUACCUCCAAUUGCAGCAGAAGGCAACCGGUUUACCAAGUGACUUGCGUAGCUCACAGCUUCAGCCCAAAACUUUUUAUCUAAACCAGCAUUAGAUAACAUACAUCGUACCUUCUCCAGUAAAGUACGAUUCAUACGCUCAACCACACCGUUCUGUUGCGGAGUAUGUCUCACCGUGAAAUGUCUUUUAAUACCCUCGUUCUGGCAUACUUGCAAGAAUGGAUCAGAAGUAUAUUCACCCUCAUUAUCAGAUCGUAAUACUUUGAUCUUUCUGCCAGUUUGAGUCUCCACCAAUUUCUUCCACUUCACGAAAAUCUCUAGAACCUCAUCCUUUGCUCGCAUGGUGUACACCCAUACACGUCUAGAGAAAUCAUCAACAAAUAUAACAAAAUAAUGGCUUCCACCAAUUGAUGCAGUCUUGGUUGGUCCCCAUACAUCACUAUAAACAUAUUCAAGGAUCUCACGAGUAUCGUGAUUAGCUGUACCAAACUUGACCCUUGUUUUCUUGCCUACUACACAAUGCUUACAGAAAUUUAAUUUACAGGUUUUGGUACCUUUUAAGAGUCCAUGCCUCAUCAGAGUUUGCAAAGACUUCUCUCCUGCAUGUCUCAAUCGUACAUGCCAUAGCUUGGUGGUGUCACUGUGCGCCUCAACAACAUUUGCUUCAUCAGUUGUACCUCCCUUCAAAUAGUACAGAUUGUGACGCCGAACCCCUUGCAGAAUCACCAUAGCCCCAUGUGUAAACUUCAUUGUGCCAUCUUCAAUGGUAACUUUGUAACCUUUAGCUUCCAAAGCACCCACAGAAAUUAGAUUUUUCUUUAUCUCUGGAACAAAUCUAACCUCUUUGAGUUCUCUGACCAUUCCAUCAAACAUUUUGAGCCGAAUUGUUCCUAUCCCCAUUGUGCGACAAGGUUGAUUAUUCCCCAUCAUAACUGCACCAGAUUCCAGAUUACGAAAAUCCGUAAACCAUUCCUUAAUAGGAUACAAAUGAUAGGUUGCUCCUGUAUCAAGUAUCCACUCACUCGAACUAGCCACAUAUGCUGCAGGAGUAAUACUUAGUGAAUAAUCAGAGUUCUCAUCUUUCCGUGCCAUGUUUGCUGCUGCUGGUUUCUUCCCAUCUCUCUUUUGAGCCUUUGGACAAUCUUUUCUCCAAUGGCCAUUUUCAUGACAAAAGGCACACUCAUCUCGAGCUAUAUUUCUGCUUCUCGAUUUGGAUCGAGAAUUCUUUCCACCACGCUUCUUUUGUUUCUCUAUCGCCCAAUCUCUGCUCACCAAAGCUUCAGACGAUGCUCGUUCAGAAUUUUUAUCAUUAUUCCGAAUCUCCAAACUAGUCAAUGCUGUGCAAACAUCUUUAAAGACGAUCACACUCUUCCCAUAUAUCAAAGUAGUCACAAAAUGGCUAUAUUCCUCUGGUAGUGAGUGUAACAGAAUCAUAGCCUUGACUUCAUCUUUAAUAUCUUCAUCAAGAUUCUUCAAAUCAGCAAGUAACUUUUCAAAUCUUGAAACAUGAUCGUGCAUUGACACCCCAGACUUCAUUCGAAAGCCAUAUACUUGGAUCAUUGCAUGAAGACGAUUUUCAGGACUUUUCACCAGGUACUUCUCUUCCAAUGUACGCCACAAAGUCACUGCACACUCCUCAUCUUUCACCAAGUAUUUCACCUCCUUGGUCAAACAAGAUCUGAUCUGACCACAGGCUUUCUCGUUCAUACGAUCCCAAAUUUCUUCAUCAUACAAGUGUCUUUUAUUUUUCAGGACAACAUCGAGAUCGAUUUGAAUAAGGGCAUCCAUAACUUCGCGCCUCCACAUGCCGAAGUUGAUUUUCCCAUCAAACUUUUCAACAUCGAUCUUCUGGCCUCCUAUAACAGGUGCUGAAUAGCGAUUUGACAAAUCUCGCCUCCCACCUGAAGUGUCUCCUGAAAUAGUCUCGGUAGAUCUCUCCCCAAUUCUGGAAGUUUCACCUUCUACCAUUUUUUCAACGAACUAUUUCCACUUGAAAAACAGCCUCUAUGAUGUUAAUUUCGCGUGAAUAAAUGCACCAGGAAAGUUCCCAGGAAACUGGACGGGAACUCGGUCCCAAUUAAAAACCAGAAUCCUUAGACUCUUAUCGCCUUUGUUGACAGAACUUUCCUAGACAUGCAAAAAUACACACUACUUACAAUAGACUGUCUCCCAAGUACAAAUGGCCGUCUCCACCGUAUUCGUGAACAGUACCGUAUGUGAACAGUACCGUAUACGGGAAUAGUACCGUAUACGUGAACAGUACCGUAUCCCCCCAAGUACGAACCGUUGGCUCUGAUACCACUUGUUGUGCGCGGAAUGCGGAAUCAAGCGCACCAAAUAAUUACUGAAAAAUAAAGGACACAAGAAUUUACGUGGUUCGGUAAUUAAACCUACAUCCACGGAGGCAAGAAAGAAUAAUUGUUUAUUUAACAAUUAAUAGAGUACAAUAUUUGAGUAACGAAUCUCACUUCCUAGAAACCCAAAUAUACCCAGUACUCUCUCACUCUGCAGGAAAGAUAAAUUCCCCAGACACACUUCUCUCACUUCUCUCAAAGCUUAGAAACUUAUAAGCUUAACAAUUUUGGGAUGAUUUCAAAUGAAUGAAAUCCUUAGCUAUUUAUAGGAGAAAUGAAUUACUAUGCUAAGAAUAAAAUAAUUAAAAAUAUAAUUUUUAAUUAUUAUUAUUUUUCAAUUUUUCAACAAAUUGUUGGUGCACCAACAAUUUGUUGACUUCAACAAAUUUGCACCAACAAUUUGUUGACUUCAACACUGAGCUCAGUCAGUUGAUGCUCCAUGUUUUUGAUUCAUUGAAGGUACUAUGAAUUGGGACCUGAUGAUCCACCGUAUGCUGCCAAGUUUUACGACUGCUGCGGGGCCGAGGAUGCUGAUGCCUCUGGUUGUACCACUGGCUUCCAUGUCUCUUAUGAUGAUGAUUAACAUAAUUUUUACCUCCUAAUCACCUGUAACUAUAGAUUAAAUUUGUAGAUAUCUCCGUGUCUCCUCCUGUGACCCACAUCAUUUCCACUGUUCUAUCACUGUAUAAUUCAGGUCUUUCAUCAGUUAAUCUCUUCAUUUCUGAACAUUUUUUUUUUCCUGGGGUUGAUCUGGCAUGAAUUCGACAUGUGCUGCUAUGGCCAACUUUCGAGGGAUGAUGGUAAAUCUUAACCCUUUUGCAUAAACUUCUGGAAUUAGUUGGUCUGGGGAAUUGGAAGAGAAUAUACUGGAAGCCAUUGCCUUCCCACAUCUUAAGUAAAGAGUAAUGCUACUUUGACAGAAAUAGGUUUACAAAAUUUUGUCAUACUUAUGAAAUACUAAAUUACCUUUUAGUUUAUUUACAGAUAGCGAAUUGGGCUUUUUACAUAUUUUUGUAAAACUACUGGACAACUGAGCUAAAAUUAUCAAUUUUAUUUUGUAUUAGUAAAUAAUCAAAGAAUCAACCUAAACUUAUAUUCAGGAAAGAAAUAACUACAGAGGACAAAAAAUUAAUGAGGCGAUUGAAAAUUACGCCAAAAUUAAUAGUAAGGCAUUUGAGAUUGCAGUAGAACUUCUCAAUAAUCAUAUUAUUAGGAUCAAUUCAUUUUGUUGCUAUAAGGAGGUUAAAACUUUGUAGAGGUUUAGUUCAAAAUUACUAUCUUGACUUCAUUAUUCUUAGUGUAAGUAAGAUAAUUAAUAAUUAAUUAAUGGAGCGUGUCAAUUGUAUGAAGCUUCAAACAUGCUUGAAUAUUUAAAAAUAUUUUGUCUUCAACAAGAAGGUGUUUAUAUUAUCGAAUUAUUUUUGCAAUAUACAAAUAAUUAUUAUUAUGUGGAGGCAAUUUCAAAGAUGUGAUAACAAUUUUAAAGAAUAAAUCAUUAUCUCAAACAACUUUUAAAAAAUAUAUUUUUUUAUACUAAAUCUUUUAAUGUAACAAAUAUGUUUUGCAAUACACAUAUAAUUAUUAUUAUGUGGAGGCAAGUUACUAAAGUCGGGAUCUAAAACACUUAUUACAAUUAGAGUUAAUUCUUAUUUAUAAUUUACCAAAAUUAAAGUUAAAAUUUUUUUAUGACUAUAAAAGAGUUAUUUCUAUAUAGAUUAUCACUAUAAAUAUAGAGUAUCACUAUAAAAAAGUUUUACGAUCAAUCUUCCGUCAUAAUAAGUAAAAGAAUGACAAGUUUUGAGUCUCAAAUAAAUUCUAUAAAACACAACCAUGGAUUAAGAUGGUCGGGAAAUGGGAAUGCAAUACAAAGUAAUUAAUGAUACAGUCACAGUGUUUCACUUACACGUGAAGCAAGCGAAACAAGAAGAAUCUUAAGAAAAAAAACACUCACCAGAACGCAAGGUUCAAUCCCGGUUUACUACGUCGACCUCCAUUCCUCAAAGAUGUUGGAAACAGAGACGAAAAGCAUUUUGAGUGGCUUCAUCCUCCCAUUGAAGCCUUCUCCACCAGUCUUCAUGUCCACGAAUAAGAAUUCUGCGCCCAUUUGCACUAUUUGAAUCGAGUGGAAGCUUUUUAAGCGAAUCGCAACCCCUAACUUCCAAUUCUUUCAGACGUGGGAGAGGCAAGGGCUUCCAGUAAAUGCUCUUCAAACAGCCCAGUCCCUCUAACCGAAGACGCUGGAGUUUUGCAAAAGGGCUGCUUAUUAUUCCCGUCAUCUCAGGAAUGUCAUCAAACUCUCCAGCACUGAUUAUUUCUUCCAUGUCAUCGCAAUGGCUUACGGAAAUAGACUUGAGGUUUGGAGCAAAAACGAGGAAUGUCAAGUGUUUCAAAUUUCUGCAAAACCUUACGGUAACUUCCUCAAGGCUGCGGAAAACAUAAG
This 17774-nucleotide long non-coding RNA is filed under the name Citrus maxima (pomelo). Its description in RNAcentral is "long non-coding RNA (CMAX_LNC003130)". Lineage: Eukaryota; Viridiplantae; Streptophyta; Magnoliopsida; Sapindales; Rutaceae. The record is from RNAcentral.